This 245-nucleotide ribosomal RNA is filed under the name uncultured bacterium. RNAcentral's name for it is "partial 16S ribosomal RNA". It matches the Rfam family "Bacterial small subunit ribosomal RNA", at positions 524 to 768 of the family's 1533-position model. The record is from RNAcentral.
GACGGGGGGUGCAAGCGUUGUUCGGAUUUACUGGGCGUAAAGCGUAUGCAGGCGGUUAAUUAAGUCUGGUGUUAAAUCCAAAGGCUCAACCUUUGUUGUGCAUUAGAAACUGAUUAACUGGAGAACAAUAGAGGAGGGUGGAAUUCCUAGUGUAGCGGUGAAAUGCGUAGAUAUUAGGAGGAACGCCUGUAGCGAAAGCGACCCUCUGGGUUGUUUCUGACGCUAAAAUACGAAAGCUCGGGGAG